This is a long non-coding RNA of Folsomia candida, 954 nucleotides long. RefSeq lists it as uncharacterized. The transcript has 3 exons. Lineage: Eukaryota; Metazoa; Arthropoda; Collembola; Entomobryomorpha; Isotomidae. The record is from RefSeq and is a predicted model, not a curated record.
CGUGGACUUUUAUUUAAAUAAAGUAGAUGAUCCACUAUCAACUGAUCGUUCCAGAUUUAUUUUCCUGUUAGCUUGUAUUCUAAUAAUUUGAAAAACUGUGCUUAACUUAAGGAAUGUUUUGUCACAUAAUUUUUGACAAUUCUACAACGUAGAAUUAAAUGUGUAAGUUCUUUACGUAAAUAAGUUAUAAUUUAAAUGUGGCAUUUGAUCAUUUUAAGCCUUUAUUUAAUGUUCCAAUUGUCCUGUUUUUUUCGUAAGUUCGAUGCCACAACGAAAAUAAUGGAUGUUUGAAAUAUUAAAAAAGCCAUAACUAUUUGCAAAAACACUUUAUACUAUUUAAGUUUGCUGUCUUUGGCGUGGCAUUUCGUUUGCGCAAGAUGAGACGGAUGAUGGGGCCAAGAAAGUGCAAUAAAUUAGUCAAAACACACCCGGAAAAAUAAAUAACUGGUAAAUUCUUCAGUUUCAGCCUCACCGAGUCCUCCGGGUUCAAAUUCAUUCGGGGAAAAAAUAAAUGUAACUUGCUCUGCGGUUCUGGAUUCCCGGAUAUUUUGCUACUUGAUUUUUUAAAGGCAGCGUUUAUUUUGCUAGCCUCGUUGUUUAAGCCUCGCUAAACUCACGCAAUAAUAAAUUCCCAAGUCGAAGGAGAAACAAUUCUAGGAGAUUUUUCUGGGGGAAGACUCUUAAACGGGGAACUCACGUCAAGAUUUGGAAAAAUUUGGGGAAAAAUACUGGAAUUGAGGGACAAUUAAUUAGUUAUUGAUUUUGUCUGCAUCAAGAAAAAAUGGUGUUUAAUAAUGAGGAAUAUGAAUAAAUAAUUUCAAAGUUUUUGAACUUUUAGCAGGAUUUUAACGCCGUUAAAAGUACUUUAGUUAUUAACGAAUACAAUUUAGAAACAAGAUUUCCAAGGUCCAAAAAUUGGUCAAAAUCUGAUACUGUCGUUGGGUGCUAUGUAAA